GUCUCGGUAGCUCAGUGGUAGAGCGUGGGAUUGCAGCUUCAAUUAGCCAUUAUCCUAAGGUCCUGUGUUCGAACCACAGUCGGGACU
Molecule: non-coding RNA, 87 nt
Organism: Xylariaceae sp. FL1019
Lineage: Eukaryota; Fungi; Ascomycota; Sordariomycetes; Xylariales; Xylariaceae
Source: the annotation of a GenBank genome assembly